RNAcentral lists this ribosomal RNA (562 nucleotides) under uncultured Wickerhamomyces. Its description in RNAcentral is "eukaryotic LSU rRNA". It matches the Rfam family "Eukaryotic large subunit ribosomal RNA", at positions 79 to 655 of the family's 3401-position model. The record is from RNAcentral. Lineage: Eukaryota; Fungi; Ascomycota; Saccharomycetes; Phaffomycetales; Phaffomycetaceae.
CUCAGUACGGCGAGUGAAGCGGCAAAAGCUCAAAUUUGAAAUCUAGCACCUUCGGUGUUUGAGUUGUAAUUUGAAGAUGGUAACCUUGGGUUUGGCUCUUGUCUAUGUUCCUUGGAACGGGACGUCAUAGAGGGUGAGAAUCCCGUCUGAUGAGAUGCCCAUUCCUAUGUAAGGUGCUAUCGAAGAGUCGAGUUGUUUGGGAAUGCAGCUCUAAGUGGGUGGUAAAUUCCAUCUAAAGCUAAAUAUUGGCGAGAGACCGAUAGCGAACAAGUACAGUGAUGGAAAGAUGAAAAGAACUUUGAAAAGAGAGUGAAAAAGUACGUGAAAUUGUUGAAAGGGAAGGGCAUUAGAUCAGACUUGGUGUUUUACGAUUAUCUUCUCUUCUUGAGUUGUGCACUCGUAUUUCACUGGGCCAGCAUCGAUUCGGAUGGCAAGAUAAUGGCAGUUGAAUGUGGCUUCACUUCGGUGGAGUGUUAUAGCUUCUGCUGAUAUUGCCUGUCUGGAUCGAGGGCUGCGUCUUUUGACUAGGAUGCUGGCGUAAUGAUCUAAUGCCGCCCGUCUU